GCCCUUAUAUCUUUGUGGUGUAUACUAGUGCAACAAAAAGAUGUAAACCCCGUGUCUACACCACGCAUGCAUGUGAUGGAUGACGAUGUCGGCCUGGUCCUUGCCCGUGACUUGCUCGUAACGGAACGAAUAGCAUAUGUAUGUGUGUAUAGUAUACGUACACACAUACGAUCGAUCACGGGGUUGAUAUAUCGAUCGGUACUACUGCAUCCGUUUCUGUGGGGGUAUAGUAUACGUACAUGCACAAGUCACAAGUGACGUUUCGUUCAUCUCACCAUACUCAGAACUGUAUGUUAUUCUCGGAAGAAAACGAUGUACUACGUACGUAUCACUGACACUUCACGUUUAAGGCGGAGCUGCAUGAGAUUCUCUUCACAUGAAUACAUAGCUUGUAGCAUAGCUUAAAUGACUACGUUUCUAUGACGAAACCUGGCUUUCUAGCACUACUCUUUCAGUGUGAUAUGGUGCGGUCGUCAGCUACGACAUCGUGUGUCAAUGUCUGACUUUGUCAAUCCUAAGAUUAUUGGCUCGGUCUCUUGAAGAUGUUGAUAGAAGUAGGGCACAUAUUGUUCCAAACAGUUAGAUUUUUCGUAUAGGAGUACAGGUAUAUCAUGACCUUUUUUUAUUUCUGGAAUAACAGGCCUGAGUAUGCACUCACGCAACCUUUUAAUAAGGAAAACGCAAAAGCGUGCGCAUGCACAUGCAUGCACGUAAAAAAAAGGACAUGUAUUUUAUAUCUGCAUGCAUAUCAGCUAAUGUGCCAUGCUCACCGCUAGCUCGACCUAAUUAACAGAAAGAUUUAUUAAAGCAUGAACAUUUUUUGAAUCUUGAGAACUAAAUUUUGAAAAAAGAG
RNAcentral lists this long non-coding RNA (853 nucleotides) under Hordeum vulgare. RNAcentral's name for it is "long non-coding RNA (HVUL_LNC017279)". The record is from RNAcentral. Lineage: Eukaryota; Viridiplantae; Streptophyta; Magnoliopsida; Poales; Poaceae.